GGCAGCCGGACGGUGGAAGUUGGCUGGUUCGGAUUUGUUCUGCCUGCCUGGAGAUUUUGCUCCUGUUCUCUCUCUCUCUCUCUCUCUCUCUCUCUCUGUGUGUCUGUGUGUGUGUGUGUGUGUGAGAGAGAGAGAGAGAGAGAGAGCCUGUGGCUUUGAGCCGGGACAGCAGACGGGGCUCCGGAUCGCAGCGCUGCCUGCUCUCGGGCCGUGCUCUAGCUUGGGGGUCUGCUCGGCUAGGAGACGAUGGGUUAAACACUGCAGGCGAACUCCGAGAGGAGCAGCCGCUGGCGCAGGGAGGAAUAUUGAUCAUCUGCGUUUGACCUGGAAUUGACCGGGAAGCGGGGAAACUGACUGGAAACAAUUUUUUAAAAAUCGGUUUCACUUUGAAGGAACUUCGGAGAUUGUUCGCUAGUUGCCUGGGAAUCUCCCCCCCCCCCCCCAAACAAGCUCCCUGCCCAGGAUUAGACACAGUAUUGAUACAGUAAUAAUUCUGGCUGCCUGUUUCGCUGGGGGAAACAAUAUAACGAGAAUGAAGGAGUGAGAUACAGCUCUGUGCGAUUUCCCAUGGGUGAACUGUAACAAACAGAGGAUUUAAAUAUGGGUAGGGAACAGGAGCUGGUGCAGGCGGUGAAAAACGGCGAUGUGUCCUCAGUGCACAAAUUACUGACCAAGAUCAAAGCGACAAAAAACAAGCUGUUGGGCUCCACAAAGCGGCUGAAUGUUAAUUAUCAGGAUUCUGACGGGUUCUCAGCUUUGCACCAUGCUGCCCUCAGUGGGAGCACAGAGCUCAUUUCAUUGCUGCUGGAAGCCCAGGCCAUGGUGGAUAUCAAGGACAGCAACGGGAUGCGGCCUUUACACUACGCAGCGUGGCAGGGAAAGCUGGAACCCGUGCGAUUGCUCCUUCGAGCUGGUGCGGUGGUAAACGUAGCCUCGCAGGAUGGUCAGAUCCCAUUGCACCUUGCAGCACAGUAUGGACAUUACGAUGUGUCUGAGAUGCUCCUGCAGCACCAAUCCAACCCAUGCAUCAUAAACAAGGCCAAGAAAACACCACUGGAUCUUGCGUGUGAGUUUGGCAGACUGAAGGUUGCACAGCUCCUUUUGAACAGUAACAUGUGUGUUGCCUUGCUGGAGGGUCAGUCCAAAGACAGCACUGAUGCCAACUUCACCACCCCAUUGCAUCUGGCCGCCAAGAAUGGACACAAAGACAUUAUCAGGUUGUUAAUCAAGGCUGGCAUUGAUGCAAACAAAGUGGCUAAAACAGGGACAGCUCUACAUGAGGCAGCACUGUGUGGCAAGACGGAGGUGGUUCGCUUGCUCCUCGAUGCUGGCGUUGAUGUCAACAUCAGGAACACUUACAACCAAACAGCGUUGGACAUUGUCAAUCAGUUCACCACCUCCCAAGCCAGCAAAGAAAUCAAGCAGCUGCUGCGAGAGGCCUCUGGAAUCCUGCAAGUGCGAGCCCUUAAGGAUUACUGGAACAUUCACGACCCCACUUCACUCAAUAUUAGGGCUGGCGAUGUUAUCAUGGUCCUGGAGCAACAUGCUGAUGGUCGCUGGAAGGGACACAUUCACGACAGCCAGAAGGGCACAGACCGUGUUGGCUACUUCCCCCCAUCCAUUGUCGAGGUGCUCAGCAGGCGAUCAGGCACCCUGACUCGCCAUGCGUCAGUGCCUCCCCAUCAACGCCAGGGGUUCUCCAAGAACCACCAGAGUUCCUUGACCACCUCACAAACAGACGAUGCUUACCAGCUGUACCAACAGAUGUACUCGCAGACACUGCCCGCCCAUCGCACCUUCAACCAUCCUGGCUUCAGCCACAACAAUCACAGCACGGAGAACAGUGAGAUGUGUGCAGGUGAUAGGAACAGCGUGGGCAGUACAGGCAGUGUGGGCAGCAUUCGGAGUGCUGGCAGUGGGCAAAGUACAGAGGGUGGCAACGGGCACACAGCCACCACAAGCUUGGAGAAUGGCAAGGCUGUGCCCCCUGGUGGGGAUCAGGCACAUCAGCAGGUCUGCAGAGGCUCAGAGAACACUGGCAAGCAACUUGACCAGCCUGCAGAAGUACCAAGACAUCAAAACAUCUCGAGCUAUAAGUCCAGUGAACAAGGUUACUCACAGCAGUUUAUCCACCCUGAUCAAUUCCUGCAAGGCAAGGAUGCUGAAGCUAUCUUUAACUGGCUGAGUGAAUUCCAGCUUCAGCAUUACACAGCCAACUUCAUCAACGCUGGCUAUGAUGUGCCAACCAUCAGCCGCAUGACCCCUGAGGACCUGACAGCAAUCGGGGUGACUAAACCUGGACACAGGAAGAAGAUUUCGACUGAGAUUGGCAAACUGAGCAUUCCGGAAUGGCUUCCCGAUUACAGGCCGGCAGAUCUGUUUGAGUGGCUGAGUGUGAUCGGCUUGCCUCAGUACCACAAAAAGCUCGUUGAUAAUGGCUAUGACAGCAUCAACUUCAUAAGCGAGAUCACCUGGGAAGAUCUGCAAGAAAUUGGAAUCACGCAGUUGGGACAUCAGAAGAAGAUGAUGAUUGCCGUGAAGAAACUUGUGGAUGUGCAGAAGGCUUUAAAUCAGGCGGAAGUGGAGGCCAAAACUGCGACGCUGAGGCGCAAAGCCCCAGCUGCGUUGGAGAUAGUCACCAUCGAGGCAUUACAAGCUGAGAAUGGAGAAUGCCAGUCUCCUCAAACGCCAAAGAUGCUCACCUUCCAGGACAGUGAGUUGAGCCACGAGCUGCAAUCCGCCAUGUCCAACCCUUGCUACAAUUGCCAGGAAGGCCUAUCGAUGAAGCAGGCCGGCGCCAUCUCCCAGAGCCAGGAGAGCAUCGGGAUCCGCUCCCGAGGAUCCGGCCACUCCCAGGACAACGUGCUGGGCAGGACCAAGGCAGACAGCAAGUCCCAGGAAAGCCUGGGCAGCGGGGAUGGCAGCAGCAGUGGGAAGAGCACCUCGUUACCCUGCCCGUCUGAUGUGUCACCUGUUCACGUUGUCGCGCCACACCAGGAGAAUGCCAACGGUUUGGGCCCUGCCCAUGGAGGCAGCCCAUGUAAGGAGAGGAACGUUCCGGAUGGGCGCGACCAUUACCAGAGGCCCGUGCUGCAAAUGGCUGCUCCUGUAGCUCACCCUGUAAAGAUGCUGCCUUCCCAGUACCGAGUCCCUCCCCACCCAACCCUCAUCACUCCUCACACCCCUACUAAGGGUAAGACAGUGCCAGCCUUUAUGUACCCACAGCUACCUGGCAAAAAACCUUUCUGCUCAGCAGUGGAGCCCACCAAACAGCAACACAUCCCCCACGUGCCCGGCAAGCAGGACUUUAACUACCUCCACCCACAUUGUGGGCUCGCCAAUGGAGUUGGGCCAGAGAAUGGGCCUCGCCUGAACCCUGUGGCGCUGCCAGGCGCUGUGCCGAUUGCCCGCUGCCCGGCGCCGGGCCAGGAGCCGAACGGCGAUGCGUCCAAGCCCAAGAAGCGUUCCCAGAGCCUGAACCGCUAUGCAGUGUCGGACGGUGAGCCAGAGGAGGAUGACGUGGGCACAGGGGCCGUCAGCACUUACGCCACCCUCACACGGCGCCCAGGCCGCAACCAGUGGCCAAGGACGGCGGACAAGGGCGUCAACCGCAGCCAAUCGUUUGCCCUCCGCGGGAAGAAGAAAGGGCCACCCCCUGCCCCGCCCAAACGCCUGAGUUCGGUGUCCAGCAGCCAGGGGCAGGAGGCCGAGAGGGAACCAGCCCCCGAUUCUGCCGUGGCCACCCAGAAUGCCCCUGACCUGGUCGAUGGGUUCCCUGUCAAACAGGAGCCCGGUGAAGAGCCAGCAAGCGGCAGCGCUGGGAGUGUCAGGAGCCUUGCUGCCAAACUGGAGAAGAACAGUUCCCCUGGUGGUCAGCCCAAAGCCGUGGCCUUGCUGAAGCUGUCCAGAGUGGAGAGGUGGGAGAACCUGGACCCAAUGCCCAAGAACCCUGAUCAUUGCGGAGGCUGCUCCACGGAGGUGAUGAGGACGCACGAGAAGGCGAGGGACACUGCCAGCCGGCGACGCACGGUCAGUGAGCCAGGAGUCGGCCUCGAGCUGGCUGUGAUCACCGAACCCUCCCAAACUGACAGGGAGGAGCCAAAGUCGGACGCUGAGGAUGAGGCCCGGCCUGCGAGGGGAGAUCUCGAGACCUCGUCAUCCUCUCAGAACAGUUCCAGCGAGUGCAUCCCUUUCGCAGAGGAGGGCAUUUUGACCAUAAAGCAGAGGCCAAAGGUCAACAGCGGGGCCCGGGAGGAGAGCAGCAUGGGCUCCGCUGCCACGCCUGAUGCUGUAACUGUGAUGCCUGGAGAUGUUGGGGUGGAAAGUCAGGUUCCCGAGGGCAACGGGACCCCUGCAACAAUGGGCACAGUUGCCAAGCAGCCGGAUAUUCCCGAAUUCAACCUGACUGAGUCCGACACGGUCAAACGGCGACACAAGCCCAAGGAGAAGGCUCCCGCCGCUGUCCUGCAACACCACGUGCUGGCACAGGGACCGCGGUACGCAGACGCCCAGGCUGUACACAUUGUGGACUCGAGACCCCAGGCCAAUCCCCACAGCAAAUCCGACUUGGAUGACGACGCCUGUGUCGAGUUCAGGAUCGCUGAGAUUGAGAGGAGUCUCCAGUCUUUAGAGAAAGGGACCAAGAAGACUCUGAAACCUCCACUUUCCCCGAAACCAGCCCUCUCCUAUCUCCAACAGGCCCCCAAACAGACAGCACCUGUCCCUGUUUCUGCCAGGCCUUCUCUCACCAAGGGACCAGCAACAGAGUUCUGUCGAAAUCAGUCCCUCUUGUCCACGGCACCUGUCUCCCCAAAGUCCACGACAACACGUGGGGUGCCAUUGGCCAGUCCCAAAAUGAGCAGACUUCCACAAGGUGGGAAUCUCUUCACCGCCACAGGUUCCGUACAGCAACUAGAGCCUGCGCGAGCCUCUGCGCCCACGAGCCCAGUUGCCAGGAAGGCGACAUUGACAGGGGGGGUGCUUGUAAAGCCUACAGCAGAAACUCCAUUAGCCUCCCUGGCUCAUCAACGACUGGAACAGACAAGCAGCUCACUGGAGGCAGCCCUUAAUGCAGUGGAACAGAAACUAAUUCGAGAAGACAACGGCAAUAAUGUCUCCGUUUCAGUGAAGUCUGCUGGUAAUAUUUUGGACGACAUUGGGAGCAUGUUUGAUGACCUCGCCGAUCAGUUGGAAGCCAUGUUGGACUAAUCCCAUACUGCCUUCAUGCUGAUGUUGUCCCUUUGACCGUUGGCGGGUACCCUCCCCCCCCAUCUUCCCUGCCACCCCCCACCUCCCCCGCACAAUGGGGUAGCCACGGUAACUGCAGGAAGCUGCCUGAGCGCCUCAUGUCCUUGAGGCCAUCCUGCUGACAGAGCAUGUCAUGAAAGUGAUUGAGCUUUGCUGCGUCCACAUUGUCCAGGCCUGGCUCAGAUGGGGCUUUCAAAACUGUACUGUGUACGAUCCCAGCUCAAGUCAGUGAGGGAUAGCUUCGAAACCCCAGGAGAACGUAAGAAACUGAAAUCUUUAUUGCAUUUGCUUUUUUAAUACUUAUGUAUAUAUUUACCCUCCUCUCAAAUUUCUGCUGCUGUCAUAAGCACUUAAAACGAGUUAAAGCACAACACAAGACACUCCUUCCCCCCCACCCCCACCAACAAAGUGAAGAUUCAAUCUUUAUCAGAUCGGGCAACGAUCUUCAAACGAAAACUGAAACAACUGGGGGCGCUGUAAAUCAGAAACAAAGGCAGAAUUUGCUGGGAAAGCUUAGCGGGUCCGGCAGCAUCUUGUGGAGAGAAAUCAGAGUUAACAUUUCGGGUCGAGCGACUCUUCCUCAGAACUGAUCUUUAAACCGCUGUCUCUGAAGAUACCCCAUCGCCCCUCCUGUGCCACAGCCAUUCAGCCAACGCACAGUGAUAACAGCAACUCAAGCUGUCGCACAACCCGGCAGAUUCCCCUUCACCCUGCACCUGAAGUACCAGCCCUGCAUUACUUAACGUUGUUUCACAAAAUAAAAAUCUUCUUCGCUCAAGUUUAACGCUAAACUCUGACUGGUGAAAGGCAGAGGCUGGGAUCACGGGUUGGCUGUUUCUGGAACGUACUUGUGUUUUUAAUCAGGCAGAGACUAAUGACUGUGAGAGGUCAGAGCGACUGGGUGGAGGAGGGCCUUCUGCCAUUUGCAUGAGACCAGGGCAGGCUGUGGUGAAGUACCUUGGGACAGAUCGCCUCUGCUGGAGGUGCUACAUGAAUCCUAACUUUUCAUUGUGUUGCUAAGGCUAACAAUGUGAAUUUGUGUCUCUUUUUGUUUGUUUGUGCUUGCCAAGCCCUGGUGCCAAGUUGAGAAUUUGCCUCCAGGGUUUGGUGGGGGUGGGGGGAGGCGUAAAGUGUCAGCGUUUGGGUCUGUGUGGCCCCUUCUCUCUGCUGGUUCCUGCAGGAUUGAGGAGCAGUAAGCAAUUGUGCAAAGAUUUCUGGCCUCGGUGCUGAAAUCCAGCAUUUUUUGUUUUCAAGUACAGAUUCCAGCAUCUGCAAUAAUUUGUUUCUGAGCUCACUGUGUUGGGAGCUCCGUCCUCAGCAGCGUGGGCUGUGCCACCCCUCAGCCUGAAGUUGCCCUCAGUCACAGGCCAAUGUGGAGGAGUAUGUGACUGGUAUUCCACUCUGAGGGACACACCCUGAAUUGACGUAGUGACCAAUCAGCUGUGACUGGGGUUUGGACACGUGAUGUUUAAAAAGGAUUGGAGGGGGGAAGGUUUGUGAAGAACACUGUACUGAGGCACGGAAAUCGUUCCCAGGGAACCACCAUGCCAACAGAGCUGCCCACGUUCAGCUGCUGCUGUUCUGCACUGCACCUCCAUGUUAAUAUCUAACCCACAGCUCAGUAUCUCUACAACAAUUUACAUAACAAUUGUAAAGUUGGCAAUUGUAGCAUGCAGAGAGAAAAAAUAUUUUUCGAAACAGAAAGGUGGAGAGCAGCUUAAACUUAGUGUGGAGGAACUGGUUCUGAACCUGAUUGUAUGAUACCUGUAGCAACAGUCUCACUACUCUUAGAGACGGUGAAUGUGCCUUUUGAAUCUGCAAGGUGUGAACAUGGAUUUGUGUAGGACGCAAUGUACAUGAACAUCUGUAGCAUUGUGUGUGUGAGCACAUAUGUGCCUACACCACAUCUGUGCAUACACAUGUAUCGUGUAUGAGUUGGACACGUAUGUGUGUCAGUCUUGCACGUCUGAGUGAACAUGUGUAACAUGUAUGUUUGUGCAUGCGACAUUCCCGUGUGUACACGUGCAGCAUGUGUGUAUGAGUAGCAAUAACACUCUGUUAGCAUGUAUGUGUGUGAGUAGCACAUGACAGUGUGCAAAUAUAGCAUAUAUGUAUGUGUUUGUUAGCACACGCUGAUGGCAGGCCAGUGUGGUAAAUCAGUGUGUGAACCAUGUUGGCUUAGACUUGGUGCGAGCAAUUUCUGAGGUGCCACCCUUACAUCUAAUGGUAGAAGGUUCCAAUUCCCAGGCUACUUUGGAACAAAAGAGUCAGGAGCAUCAAUCUUCAGCCAGUCACCUUUCAGUUAUCUGACUGUCUCUCCUCACAACUACGUGCUCAUAACUGUGUCAAAGCUGCCCUCGUCAUAGUUUCCAGCCAGAUGUUCAUCAUAGAGGUCGAGAGAGGUUCUGCAGCAUUAAUACACAGUGUAGUCCCGAUCCCCUUGGUAGAUCAAUCAUUGAAUUGAAGAGAUAACUGUCCUGAUUUGUCCCUGUUAGCCACACCCCAUUAUCCCAUCAAUCCAUAUCUAGAUUAAUCACACUGGAUUCAGUCUAAAUCAAUGUGAAUAACUUUGAAUAGCCUUAAUAAACUGCCUCUACACCUUGUUUUCUCAGAUUCUGUAGCAUCUGCAGUUCCUACUGUCUCUACGUCUAAUAGUCACUUAUUCUUUCUGAACCUACUGUGUCAGAAAGAAGGAACCUGCAUUUCUAAAACACUUUGUAGAGACCCAGUUUGUCCCAAAAUGUUUUUCAGUAACAUAGUUUGUUUAAGUGUAGCCAUUUAUUGCAGCUAGUUUAGGCACAGCAAGCUCCCACAAACAACAGUAAAGCAUUGACCAGAUAUGUAAGCCUUUGUGGUUUUUACAUUCCUGCACUCAGAAAGCACGUCGAUAGCACCCAGUUUGUGAAAGGGAUCGCAGACUGAAAGAAUGCAGUCGCCAGCCAUCCCUGUGGCACAUGCUAACUUGGGGUUUCUGUCCCAUUUGGAAACAAACAGCACCCUCAGGCAUUGGGCAGUAUUGGAAUAUUAGUGUUACUGACUGAAGCCUGCACUCUUUAGAACAUUUUGCAAGAAUACUCAAUAAAGGAGAAAACUGACCUUUAUGUUGCCUGACAGGACUGGUUGGCAUGUAGAUUUUGAUUUAUAGCAGGGUUGCCAUGGAUAAUGGACCCAUUAAAGCUGAUUGACAGUUAACUGCCAGUCAUUGUUUAGAUUUCUAACCAGGCAGGCUGAUUCUUAUUGGUCAGGGUAUUGCCCUGGGAAAUGAACCAGUGAAUGGCUGUCACCUAUUUUGUUGAGUUGGAACAGACACAGUGUGUGGACAUGUUAUUUCUGUCUGCAAUGAACAAGGCCCUAUAUAAAUGGAGCUUCCACAGCAACACCUUUACCAAUCAGAGUCCCACUUUCCAACAAAUCAGCACUCUCUUCUCAUGGAAUAUAAAUCUUAGUUUUGCCCUUGAGUUGGUAUUCUUGUGAAUUGUCCUGAUGAGCGCAAGACGAGGAGCCACACCAAAGUAUAUAUUGUUUCAGCAAUAAACAACAUUUUGUACAUUGUCAUCGUGAGAAUCUGUAUGAUCCAUGCUAAGUAUUAUGUCACCAUGGUAAUGAUAAAGUGUUCAAAGCAUGAACUGCAGGUUUUAUGAUGUAAAUACCCUAGCUGCUCCAAGCAUUGAGAAAAUAUAUAAAUAUAUAUAUUUUGAAACAUUUUCUUUCUUAUCUUUACAUAUGCACCAAAUAUUCCUGUCAGAGAAUUAUUAGCAUUAGAAAGUGAAGUGAUGUGGGUUACACUGGAUUUCGGAGCAGAUACAUUUCUUAUCUGCUGUGAGAUGAUGUGCUCUGGUGAACACAGACUGCUUGCUGCCAGCAAAGUGAGAAAAUGCAAAACAGGACGGUUAAAUUAAGAGACUUUUUUUGAGCUUGAUCUUUGUACAUUACAACUUACUGACUUGUGUAUUAUCGAUGCAAAUGUUUUCAAUAGUUUAUUUGAAAUUUCUAACAUUCUGUGUGAUCAAGCACUGUUUAAUGUUUUUUAAUCUGCUUGGCUGAAACAUUGAUAUAUAAUGUAAGUUAUUGUUUAAGAUUAAGAAGUGAAACCAAUGGACCGGAGAGCAGUGGCAAACUUCAUAUUUGGUCUGGAUUCAUUUUGAUUUGUGCCCAUGGAUCACGCACAUUCACUGAACUCAGGCUCCUUAGCCACUGAAUCUUGGGAUAUGAAGAUGUUAAUGACGAUGGCAAAAGUGAUGCAUUGCUCUGAUGUGAGCACUAUGAGAAAUUGUAUUCAGUUUCAUGUAUAUCAGUGUAAAUAAAGAGUUUACAGUA
Stegostoma tigrinum is the source of this 9564-nucleotide RNA transcript. It is a transcript of the gene named caskin-2-like, with no coding region annotated. The transcript is spliced from 22 exons. Lineage: Eukaryota; Metazoa; Chordata; Chondrichthyes; Orectolobiformes; Stegostomatidae. The record is from RefSeq and is a predicted model, not a curated record.